AUUAUUGGGCUUAAGCGUCCGUAGCCGGCUUAGCAAGUNUCCUGUUAAAUUCANCGACCUAAUCGUUGAGCCGCGGGANAUACUACUAGGCUAGGAGGCGGGAGAGGUCGACGGUACUUCUGGGGUAGGGGUGAAAUCCUAUAAUCCCGGGAGGACCACCAGUGGCGAAGGCUGUCGACUAGAACGCGCUCGACGGUGAGGGACGAAAGCUGGGGGAGCGAACCGGAUUAGAUACCCGGGUAGUCCCAGCUGUAAACGAUGCGGGCUAGGUGUUGGGNUGUACGUCACUUCAGUGCCGCAGGGAAGCCAUUAAGCCCGCCGCCUGGGGAGUACGGCCGCAAGGCUGAAACUUAAAGGAAUU
RNAcentral lists this ribosomal RNA (361 nucleotides) under uncultured archaeon. RNAcentral's name for it is "bacterial SSU rRNA". It matches the Rfam family "Archaeal small subunit ribosomal RNA", at positions 500 to 866 of the family's 1478-position model. The record is from RNAcentral.